Long non-coding RNA from Oncorhynchus tshawytscha (Chinook salmon), 511 nucleotides. The record is from Ensembl. NCBI's taxonomy places the organism in Eukaryota, Metazoa, Chordata, Actinopteri, Salmoniformes, Salmonidae.
GGGGGUACCGGUACAGAGUCAAUGUGGGGGCUAUAUACAGGGGGUACCGGUACAGAGUCAAUGUGGAGACUAUAUACAGGGGGUACCGGUACAGAGUCAAUGUGGAGACUAUAUACAGGGUAUUACGGUACAGAGUCAAUGUGGAGGCUAUAUACAGGGGGUACCAUUACAGAGUCAAUGUGGAGGCUAUAUACAGGGGGUACCGGUACAGAGUCAAUGUUUAGGCUAUAUACAGGGGAUACCAGUACAGAGUCAAUGUGGAGACUAUAUACAGGGUGUUAUGGUACAGAGUCAAUGUGGAGGCUAUAUACAGGGUAUUACGGUACAGGGUCAAUGUGGAGGCUAUAUACAGGGGGUACCAGUACAGAGUCAAUGUGGAGGCUAUAUACAGGGGGUACCAGUACAGAGUCAAUGUGGAGGCUAUAUACAGGGUAUUACGGUACAGAGUCAAUGUGGAGACUAUAUACAGGGUAUUACGGUACAGAGUCAAUGUGGAGGCUAUAUACAGGGG